GGCUACAAUCAUUAGCACGCCUGAUCUUGUCUGAUCUCAGAAGCUAAGCAGGCAGAUUCUGCUGGUAGACCACCUAGAAAUAGUGGGUCCUGUAGCUU
RNAcentral lists this ribosomal RNA (98 nucleotides) under Amphilophus citrinellus (Midas cichlid). The record is from RNAcentral. Lineage: Eukaryota; Metazoa; Chordata; Actinopteri; Cichliformes; Cichlidae.